RNAcentral lists this ribosomal RNA (254 nucleotides) under uncultured bacterium. Its description in RNAcentral is "partial 16S ribosomal RNA". It matches the Rfam family "Bacterial small subunit ribosomal RNA", at positions 524 to 776 of the family's 1533-position model. The record is from RNAcentral.
GACGAACCGUGCGAACGUUAUUCGGAAUCACUGGGCUUAAAGCGCGUGUAGGCGGGACGGUACGUCGGUAGCUGAAAUCCCCCGGCUCAACCGGGGAACGGGCGCCGAUACGACCGCCCUCGAGGGACGUAGGGGGACCUGGAACUUCCGGUGGAGCGGUGAAAUGCGUUGAGAUCGGAAGGAACGCCCGUGGCGAAAGCGAGGUCCUGGACGUUUUCUGACGCUGAGACGCGAAAGCCAGGGGAGCGAACGGG